This 337-nucleotide unclassified non-coding RNA is filed under the name soil metagenome. RNAcentral describes it as "partial contains 5.8S ribosomal RNA, internal transcribed spacer 2, and large subunit ribosomal RNA". The stretch from base 1 to 120 matches the Rfam family "5.8S ribosomal RNA", at positions 35 to 154 of the family's 154-position model. The record is from RNAcentral.
GAUGAAGAACGCAGCGAAAUGCGAUAAGUAGUGUGAAUUGCAGAAUUCAGUGAAUCAUCGAAUCUUUGAACGCACAUUGCGCCCCUUGGUAUUCCAUGGGGCAUGCCUGUUCGAGCGUCAUUUGUACCUUCAAGCUCUGCUUGGUGUUGGGUGUUUGUCUCGCCUCUGCGUGUAGACUCGCCUCAAAACAAUUGGCAGCCGGCAUAUUGAUUUCGGAGCGCAGUACAUCUCGCGCUUUGCACUCAUAACGACGACGUCCAAAAGUACAUUUUUACACUCUUGACCUCGGAUCAGGUAGGGAUACCCGCUGAACUUAAGCAUAUCAAUAAGCGGAGGA